AAUAAGUGCAGUUUUGUAUUAUUCACGUUUCGUCUUAUUUGAAAAAAAAUUAUGAUUAGUAUUUUUAUUGCUAUUAGAUGAUAAAACAUAAAUAGUACUUUAUGUGUGACUAAAUAUUUUUAAAUUUUUUAUAAAUUUUUUUAGUAAGACGAACGGUCAAACGUUGGGCACGGAUAUCCACGGCUGCUUUAGGA
RNAcentral lists this microRNA precursor (194 nucleotides) under Oryza nivara. Its description in RNAcentral is "MIR812 microRNA precursor family". It matches the Rfam family "MIR812 microRNA precursor family". Lineage: Eukaryota; Viridiplantae; Streptophyta; Magnoliopsida; Poales; Poaceae. The record is from Rfam by way of RNAcentral.